Molecule: long non-coding RNA, 745 nt
Filed under: Monodelphis domestica (gray short-tailed opossum)
Lineage: Eukaryota; Metazoa; Chordata; Mammalia; Didelphimorphia; Didelphidae
Description: lncRNA (ENSMODG00000021231.2)
Source: RNAcentral
GGAGUAAAAUUCCCUCCAUCAGAGAGACAAGACUUGGCUCUCUCUCUCCCAGAAAGGAGAGGAGGGAGAAGAAUCUCUUCACCCUCUCUCCCCAUUUCCCUCGCUCUCCUUCCAUUCUCCCUGUUCCCCUCACAAUCCUUCUCUUACACAUGGCUAGCAAUAAUAGAGGAGGGAAAUGGGUAUACUUCACUUUCCUGUCAAAGAGAAAAAACUAGACAUUGUGCCAGGAUGAAAAUAAACAUCCUUCUUUUUUUCUGCAGCCAAACUGCCAAACUUACAUAUUAUAGUCACCCCACAGAUCUCUUCAGAUACUUUCAGGUCCAUCUGGAAAAACAACAGAAACUCUGGCUCUGUCCAAAAGAAAAAGAAGGCCAAAAACUGAAUAUAUAUUCCAUUUAUUCCUGUGGACAAAUGGUUUGGAUAUGAAGACAAUGUCACUGAGAAAUAAUAUUGUCAAAUAGUCAUUUCACUAAUGUGCAAAGUAUUCUUAUAUUACAUUUUUUACUUUUUUAAAAGAUAAUUUAUUUUACCAAUUACAUGUACUAACAAGUUUCCAUAUAAGGUUUCUGAAGUUAUAAAAUACAAAUUGUCUCCUCUUCUUCCUGGAGAUGGUAAUCAACUUGAUCUGGAUUAUGUAUGUAUCAUCAUGUAAAACCUAUUUCCAUACUGUUCAUUGUUUUAAAGAAUACUCAUAUAAAACCAAAACUCCAAAAUAAAAAGUCAAAUAAAUUAAAGUGAAAAAUCA